This 611-nucleotide ribosomal RNA is filed under the name Vishniacozyma carnescens. Its description in RNAcentral is "eukaryotic LSU rRNA". It matches the Rfam family "Eukaryotic large subunit ribosomal RNA", at positions 53 to 654 of the family's 3401-position model. Lineage: Eukaryota; Fungi; Basidiomycota; Tremellomycetes; Tremellales; Bulleribasidiaceae. The record is from RNAcentral.
GAGGAAAAGAAACUAACUAGGAUUCCCUUAGUAACGGCGAGUGAACCGGGAUGAGCUCAAAUUUGAAAUCUGGCGUCUUUCAGGCGUCCGAGUUGUAAUCUAUAGAGGCGUUUUCCGCGCCGGACCGCGUCCAAGUCUCUUGGAAUAGAGUAUCAAAGAGGGUGACAAUCCCGUACUUGACGCGACAACCGGUGCUCUGUGAUACGUUCUCAAUGAGUCGAGUUGUUUGGGAAUGCAGCUCUAAAUGGGUGGUAAAUUCCAUCUAAGGCUAAAUAUUGGCGAGAGACCGAUAGCGAACAAGUACCGUGAGGGAAAGAUGAAAAGCACUUUGGAAAGAGAGUUAAACAGCACGUGAAAUUGUUAAAAGGGAAACGAUUGAAGUCAGUCGUGUGGGAAGUAUUCAGCCGUCUCUGGCGGUGUAUUUGCUUCUCACGGGUCAACAUCAGUUUGAUCCGGUAGAAAAAGGCGGGAAGAAGGUGGCACCCUCGGGUGUGUUAUAGCUUCCUGUCAUAUGUGCCGGACCAGACUGAGGAACGCAGCUUGCAGCAAUGCCGGGGUUCGCCCACGUACAAGCUUAGGAUGUUGACAUAAUGGCUUUAAACGACCCGUCU